CCCCCUGUCUGGAGUUCAUCAGGGCCCCCCCUGUCUGGGGGUCGACGGAAUAACGAGGAGGUUGAACCUUUCUGUCUAUCUAGCAUCAGAUCCCUUAACCUAGUUAACAUCUGAUUCCAGGACUGUGGUUAACGGGGGUCUAACCUCCACUAUGUAGACAGGAGAGUUAACAUCUGAUUCCAGGACUGUGGUUAACGGGGGUCCUAACCUCCACUAUGUAGACAGGAGUUAACAUCUGAUUCCAGGACUGUGGUUAACGGGGGUCCUAACCUCCACUAUGUAGAGACAGGAGUUAACAUCUGAUUCCAGGACUGUGGUUAACGGGGGGUCCUAACCUCCACUAUGUAGAGACAGGAGUUAACAUCUGAUUCCAGGACUGUGGUUAACGGGGGGGGUCCCUAACCUCCACUAUGUAGAGACAGGAGUUAACAUCUGAUUCCAGGACUGUGGUUAACGGGGGUCUAACCUCCACUAUGUAGAGACAGGAGUUAACAUCUGAUUCCAGGACUGUGGUUACUGGGCUUCACAGACAACAUUAUGACACUCCUUCCUGUCUGAAAGCGUCCCAUGUUCAGAUUUCUGUAUUAUUCCAAUGUUCUCACUCUCAUCUUUAUUUACACCUUAAUAUAUCUUGGGAGCUGCUUGUGUGCGGAUGGUAAUGCUAACCUGUUUCACAAUAUAAUUUAUAUCAUUUGUAUUAUUGUAACAUUAUAUUAUAUAUUGUGGUCUGUUUAUUCUGUCAUUCCUUCCUGGGUUUUAUAGGAUCAGUGUGGGGAGGGAGGGGCAUAUUUACACCAGUCUAAAACCCGCG
RNAcentral lists this long non-coding RNA (811 nucleotides) under Salmo salar (Atlantic salmon). RNAcentral's name for it is "lncRNA (ENSSSAG00000119765.1)". Lineage: Eukaryota; Metazoa; Chordata; Actinopteri; Salmoniformes; Salmonidae. The record is from RNAcentral.